AAAAAAAGAUUGAUAUCAGUGACAAUGUUGGGGUUGGCAGACACGAGUGUCGUAGAGACACCCACGCGUUUCCCGCAUCCACGCGGGACCGACCGAAAAUAUUCACUUUCGCACGACAAAGGGCAAGAAACCGAAUGGUCCAUAUUUGCACUAACAAGAAACGAUCGUCAGCAACUGGGGAAAGAAGUUUGAAAAAAAACAUUCCAAUUAUUGUACACAACAACACAUAUAUAUAGCAGUCAAUGUAAAUUGCCUCUGAUAAAACGAAAGAUUCCACACGUACGGAACGAGAAUCCAUCUGAAAUAUAAUCACUUCGGUAUGCUCUGCUUUAUGAGGUGUGUAAUGGUGGGAAAAAUAUAGGACGUCGACAAAACCCAAAGGAGACGUAAAAACAGGACAACGUAUGUAGUUUUUUACGGGAUACCGCGACGUUAAAGGUAUAGAGGGAAAAAAAGGGUAUGGAGGAUUGGAUAUAUUAUUGGUGGAGCGGCAAUCAUAAAAUUCCACCCCGGAGGACUCUGACGCGGUGUGGGGCUCAUCGAAUUUGGCUACGAAUCGUGUUUAUCUUGCCCACGUACGAAAUGUAGGGAUGUAAAUGGCCUUGUAAACCAAAUAUGCUGUCAGCAGUUUUGAGCAUUAUGUGAAAUCACCGGGGGAUUUCGCAGGAAAUGAGAAAAAAAAGAAUAUUGUCUCACGAAGAAAACGCAAAAAUGAAAUAUUAAUUUUUAAUAUUACUAAUAAAAUAUAUUUCAUAGCCAAAAGCACCUAAUGACUUUACCACUAAAUUACUAAUUUACUAAUUGAAAUUAUUUAGCUU
Molecule: long non-coding RNA, 818 nt
Organism: Leptopilina heterotoma
Lineage: Eukaryota; Metazoa; Arthropoda; Insecta; Hymenoptera; Figitidae
Exons: 3
Source: RefSeq, a predicted model, not a curated record